CUUCGGAAGUGGAAAGCGAACUGCUCAGUAACACGUAGCUAACCUGCCCUUAGGCCAAGGAUAUUGUCGGGAAACUGACUUGAAUACUUGAUAGAAGACAUACCCUGGAAUGAUCUGUCUUUAAACUAAGGAUGGGGCUGCGGCAGAUUAGGUAGUUGGCGGGGUAAUGGCCCACCAAGCCUGUGUUCUGUAAGGGCUCUUAGCGGAGAGGCCCUGAGAGGGAAUCUGAGACACUAUUCCCAGCCCUACGGGGUGCAGCAGUUAGGAAUAAUCUACAAUGCGCGCAAGCGUGAUAGUUUGAGCCAGAGUGCGUUUCUAUUGAAACGCUUUUGCUGAAUGUAAAAAGUUUGGUGAAUAAGGACUGGGUAAGACUAGUGCCAGCCGCCGCGGUAAUACUAGCGGUCCAAGUCGCAGCCACAUUUAUUGGGUCUAAAACAUCCGUAGCUUGCUUAGUAAGCUUCUUGUGAAAUUCUGUGUCUUAAGCACAGAGCUGGCAAGAAAUACUGCUGAGCUAGAGACUGGGAGACGUAGAGAGUAUGUUCAUAGUAGUAGUAAAAUGCUUUAAUCAUGAACAGACUUACAAUAGCGAAGGCACUCUACGAGAACAGUUCUGACAGUCAGGGAUGAAGGCUAGGGGCGUAAAAGGGAUUAGAUACCCCUGUAAUCCUAGCAGUAAACACUGCACACUAAACAUCGGUUCCUCCUCGAGAGGCAUCGGUGCUGCAGGGAAGCCGAAGAGUGUGCUACCUGGGAAGUAUAGUCGCAAGGCCGAAACUUAAAGAAAUAGGCGGGGAGACACUACAACGGGUGACGCGUGCGGUUCAAUUAGAUUACACACUGUGAACCUCACCAGGAUCGACUGCAGGAUGAAGGUCAGUCUGAAGGGCUUACCUGACACGCAGAGAGGAGUUACAUAGCCGACGUCAGCCUGUGCUGUGAGGUGACUUGUUAAAUCAAGUAACAGGCAAGACCCUCGUGCAUAUUUGUGAUUACCAUAUGCAGAUUGCCCGUGUAAAUGGGAUGAAAGUGGGGGCUACGUUAGGUGGUACAACCCGACUACCCUGGGCGACACGCGCGCGUCAAUGGUGAAUACAAUGGGAUGCAAUUCUGUAAAGAAGAGCUAAUCUCCAAAGUUCAUCUCAGUCCAGAUUGAGGUUUGCAACUCAACCUCAUGACGCUGGAAUCCGUAGUAAUCGGGUGUUAGCAGCGCCCGGUGAAUAGGUCACUGUCUCUUGCACUCACUGCCCGUCAAACCAACCGAGUUUAUUUAGAAUGAAACUUUCGAGGAGAAUUUUGGGUAGACAAGGUAGGUUAAGUCGUCACAA
Molecule: ribosomal RNA, 1325 nt
Filed under: metagenome
Description: bacterial SSU rRNA
Rfam family: Archaeal small subunit ribosomal RNA
Source: RNAcentral